UGAUGAGACUCGGGAAUCGCUGUGCUGCUUUGAUGAAAGCUUUUUUCGACCUGAUGACCGUGGGCUUUUUCUUC
Molecule: small nucleolar RNA, 74 nt
Organism: Trichechus manatus latirostris (Florida manatee)
Lineage: Eukaryota; Metazoa; Chordata; Mammalia; Sirenia; Trichechidae
Product: small nucleolar RNA MBII-202
Exons: 1
Source: RefSeq, a predicted model, not a curated record